GACGAACGCUGGCGGCGUGCCUAAUACAUGCAAGUAGAACGCUGAAACUUGGUGCUUGCACCGAGCGGAUGAGUUGCGAACGGGUGAGUAACGCGUAGGUAACCUGCCUGGUAGCGGGGGAUAACUAUUGGAAACGAUAGCUAAUACCGCAUAAGAGUAGAUGUUGCAUGACAUUUGCUUAAAAGGUGCAAUUGCACCACUACCAGAUGGACCUGCGUUGUAUUAGCUAGUUGGUGGGGUAACGGCUCACCAAGGCGACGAUACAUAGCCGACCUGAGAGGGUGAUCGGCCACACUGGGACUGAGACACGGCCCUGACUCCUACGGGAGGCAGCAGUAGGGAAUCUUCGGCAAUGGACGGAAGUCUGACCGAGCAACGCCGCGUGAGUGAAGAAGGUUUUCGGAUCGUAAAGCUCUGUUGUAAGAGAAGAACGAGUGUGAGAGUGGAAAGUUCACACUGUGACGGUAUCUUACCAGAAAGGGACGGCUAACUACGUG
RNAcentral lists this ribosomal RNA (497 nucleotides) under uncultured bacterium. RNAcentral describes it as "partial 16S ribosomal RNA". It matches the Rfam family "Bacterial small subunit ribosomal RNA", at positions 28 to 507 of the family's 1533-position model. The record is from RNAcentral.